GUUUGGGGGCGCUGUUGAGCGGUGGCCGCGCGCUCAGUGUCACCGUGGUCCCCUGAAUCACAGAGCUCAAUGGCGUAAUCUAUUCGCUAACAGUGCUGAUGAUGCCUUACUCCAACCCAUCCUGGUCUCAUCAGUGUGAAAAACAGGAAAUCUUCAUGCUUUUGAGAUCUCUGAAAUGGAUCACUUCUCCGUCACACCGGAAUGGCAAGACCUGCUUUAACACGUUUGACUACAAAAUAGGGGACAUCAACAUGCAGAAGUCACAAGCCGCCUGUUUCUGUCAUCAGAUUCUCAACCUCAUCCGUACACACUGCAGUACGGAUCUUCAGCCUAUCCCACACCGAGCACUACGGUACAGCUUGGAGUAAGAUCUGCAGGUUAAAGGACUCUGCAGCCGGUCUGGAACAGCGGGAUGAAACAGAAGAAGCAAGCAGAAAAUCUUCUGGCUUGUCCUUACUUGGGAAUGUUGUCCCUAUGUUCUUCCAAGGAAUCAACAGCUGUCUGAAGCAGAAGGAAUACAGCUGCUGUGCCUCCAACAUUGUCGGUGGGAUGAACGAAGCGAGCUUCUCCCCACUUACUAAAUUCCAAAGACAAUCAGGAAACAAAACUGGUCUUAUGACUCCCCAAUCAAUUGUAUUAUUGUCUGUCAACUCCAAGAAAGGAAUCUACACCAGAUUUUCUGUGCCAGCUAUAAAAUACAUGAAAUCAAAAUCAAGGUUUUAUAUUUCAAAUAUAGUGAGUUGAAAAAAUUGUUCAAAACAGCAAGUGAUCUAUGUUUACCUUAUGAUAAUACAUUUUUCAUCUGUCUUUUCCAUUUGGGGGAGGGCAUUUCCUGUCUCUAGAAUGUGAAAUGUAACUUCUCGUGGAAAACCUUCUUUGUCACAUGAUGUUGUUACAGACCUCUGUCUGUUAAGGUAAUGUUAGCUGCUCAAACAGAUCAACAUGAAAAUACCAGGAUUUCAGCAGCACGCAGGCUUAUCCUCCCUUCAUGGACCACCUCAGUGCAGGCAUUCCUGAUCAGAUGACUCUUCCGGUCGGCUCUCGUCCAAACAAUGAUUCAGGGACC
This 1066-nucleotide long non-coding RNA is filed under the name Equus asinus (donkey). Its description in RNAcentral is "lncRNA (ENSEASG00005035783.1)". The record is from RNAcentral. Lineage: Eukaryota; Metazoa; Chordata; Mammalia; Perissodactyla; Equidae.